Molecule: ribosomal RNA, 405 nt
Filed under: uncultured bacterium
Lineage: Bacteria
Description: bacterial SSU rRNA
Rfam family: Bacterial small subunit ribosomal RNA
Source: RNAcentral
GUGGGGAAUAUUGGACAAUGGGCGCAAGCCUGAUCCAGCCAUGCCGCGUGAGUGAAGAAGGCCUUAGGGUUGUAAAGCUCUUUCAGCGGGGAAGAUGAUGACGGUACCCGCAGAAGAAGCCCCGGCUAACUCCGUGCCAGCAGCCGCGGUAAUACGGAGGGGGCUAGCGUUGCUCGGAAUUACUGGGCGUAAAGGGCGCGUAGGCGGGCCAGCCAGUCAGGCGUGAAAGCCCCGAGCUCAACUCGGGAACUGCGCUUGAAACUGCUGGUCUAGAGUUCGGGAGAGGGUAGUGGAAUUCCCAGUGUAGAGGUGAAAUUCGUAGAUAUUGGGAAGAACACCAGCGGCGAAGGCGGCUACCUGGACCGAUACUGACGCUGAGGCGCGAAAGCGUGGGGAGCAAACAGG